CACACCGCCCGUCACGCCAUAGAAGUGGCGAGUGCCCGAAGUCCGUGUCGGAACCCGCAAGGGACCAAGCGGCCAAAGGCAAGCGUCAUGACUGGGGCG
Molecule: ribosomal RNA, 99 nt
Filed under: uncultured bacterium
Lineage: Bacteria
Description: partial 16S ribosomal RNA
Rfam family: Bacterial small subunit ribosomal RNA
Source: RNAcentral